GGAUUACCCUUUGCAUUUGACAGCAGAGUUCAGGCUUAACCCUUAACCUCUUCAGGCUCGGAGGACCCUGGGCAGGAGAGAUUUAAGAACACCGUCCCCCCGCUUUCGCGGAAAGGCCAAGAGUGACUUGAAAUGUAGACGCGGAGGCCUAUGGGAAAUGCAGUUUUAAAUAGGUGAGGUUCACCGCCUGGACUCUGGGAAGGGGACGCCACGCUCCUUCUGCGCAUGUGCAGCCGUAGCCUCCUCGUUUGUCUUCUCAGGACUCCAGAGAACCGUUGGGGAACUUUGGGGUGUGCUCGGAAAAUGCAGGGUGCGCACCUAGGGCGAGGGACUAGCUGGGAAGGGUGUGCCUGUGCUUGGGGAUGGGAGCAGGAAGUGUCUGGGACCUCGUCGCCCCCCGCGGCGGUGUAUAAACCCGGGCGGGCCGUCAGAGUGGUUAAGGCCGAUGGGGGAGACCCCGGCCCUCGGGAUCCCGGGGCGCAGGUGUUCGGGGCGGUCCGGGAUGCCCGAGGAUCGUGUGACCAGCCCGCCUGCAGCCCGACCGGAGAGAAGCCCGUGUCGGCGGCGGUGGGUGCGGGAGGGAGGAGUGCGUUUAUCAGGCGGACGGUGACCCGUGGGUCUGCGGUGGAGCCCGAGCUCUGGAGCACUACAGGCCCGGUCAGUGCCAGCUCUGUCACCUGUAAGCAGGGGCGACAGAAGGAACCUGGGCGAGAGUCAGGGUUCUCAUCUAUAAAUAUUAAUAAUGAUUGUUUCACGGCGGCGUUUGGAAACAUAGAUCACUAUUUUAGACAAGUGCCAGCUGAACCACAGUCCUCUGUACUCGCCCAGGAGCCACAGAAAGUGAACAUCCCUCAGAUUCCACCUGCCACCACUGGAGGAGGUUCAGGAGCUGUGUAUUCUGAGCCUGCUGUGAUCCCUGGUGUCUGUGCUUGUCCUUUGGAAUCUAUGCUGACAGGACCCAUCUGCGAUUGCCUGCUUGUAGCUGCUGCUUUGCUAAUGUAUGCACGGGCACUCUAGACGGGGUCCCUUGCUCUGGCUGACUGGCUGAGCUUGUGAGCCCAGCAGGGGGAGGGGCACUUCUUUUGCAUGUGCCAUCCCGUGGGUGUUCUCUCUUUGCCCUUGCUGUCUGUCCUCCUGGCGUGCUGGCUUCAUGAAGACAACCCCACAAUAGCUUAGCCUCCUCUGUGGAGCUUUCCUAUGGGAUGUGAGGGAACUUGGAGAGCAAAGGCAUUCCCACAGAGUCUCCCCCCAGGCCCCUCUUUUCUCAGAGCUGUGCAUGGUCCUGUGCCCUAGGUCAUUGCUGGGGAGGGAGAGGAGAUCCCCUUACUUCCUCCUUCUUCCUCCUGGGGGGUCCAGCACCUCCACCUUCAGACAUAUGGCUGCAUGGGUCUCUCAGAUGUCUUUUGUGUUGUGUGCCUGUCCUCUUUUGGUUUAUGAAUGUCCUUUUCAUUGUUUCUUAGGGAGGAGAGUCUAAGGGAAGAUCUCACUCCGCCGUGAUGCUGAUGUCAUGCCUGGUCAUUCUAUUUUUAAGUUUUUGAGGAAUCUCUGUACUGUUUUCCACAGUGGCUGCACCAAUUUACAUUCCCACCAGCAGUGUAUGAGGGCUCCCUUUUCUCCCAUCCUCUCCAACACUUCUGUUUUCUUUGUAAAGAUUGUCACCUGAGCUAACAUCUGUUGUCUAUCUUUUUUUCCUUCUUGUUCUCCCAAAACCCUCCCAGUACAUAGUUGUAUAUUGUAGUUAUAUGUCCUUCUGGCUGUGCUGUGUGGGAUGCCACCUCAGCAUGGCUUGAUGAGU
Long non-coding RNA from Equus caballus (horse), 1795 nucleotides. Lineage: Eukaryota; Metazoa; Chordata; Mammalia; Perissodactyla; Equidae. The record is from Ensembl.